RNAcentral lists this ribosomal RNA (498 nucleotides) under Triticum aestivum (bread wheat). RNAcentral's name for it is "partial small subunit ribosomal RNA". Lineage: Eukaryota; Viridiplantae; Streptophyta; Magnoliopsida; Poales; Poaceae. The record is from RNAcentral.
AUGUUUUGGCUAGAUUGGUGGUCGGGUGAUAGACAGUUCGCAGAACGGUUCUAUGCGCUAUUUAGUAUUUGCACUUGCCUACAACUCACGGUGAGUGUGGCCUUAGAGGAGUUUGGGAGCAUCGCCUUCCGACGCACUUUUGGCCCGCUUGAACAGGACAAAUGGGAGGAGUUGCUUGAAUGCAUAGCCCUCCAUGCCCCCUCCCUUGAGGAGGACGCGAUCUCAUGGACAUUUGAACGAAGUGGGAGGUUCUCGGCCAAGUCCUUAUAUCACGCUCUAUUGGCCUCGCUAGGUCCGAACGAGUUAACUCUCCUUUGGGAGAUUAAAUUUCCAUUGAAGAUCCGCAUCUUCCUCUGGGAAUGGGUGUGCGGCCGCCUCCCUUCAGGCACAUAGGUUCUCAAACACAAUGGCCCGGGGGAUGGGCUAUGCCCCUUAUGCGGAGUACUUGAGGACUCCAACCACAUAUUCUUCCGCUGCCCGGCAGCGAUCUUUCUUUGA